AGAGUUUGAUCCUGGCUCAGGAUGAACGCUAGCGGUGCGCUUAACACAUGCAAGUCGAGCGAUCGAGCCAGUCAGAUUAACUUUCGGGUUUUGAUGAUUGGUAACGGAGCGGCGGACUGGUGAGUAACACGUGGUCAACCUACGCUCUUGACGGGGACAACCUUCCGAAAGGAAGGCUAAUACCCGAUGUUGUGCAAGCUCGGUGGAGCUUGUUCCAAAGACGGUCCUGCCGUCGCAAGGGGAGGGGACUGCGGCCUAUUAGCUUGUUGGUAGGGUAACUGCCUACCAAGGCUAUGAUGGGUAGCUGGUCUGAGAGGACGACCAGCCACAUUGGGACUGAGAUACGGCCCAGACUCCUACGGGAGGCAGCAGUGGGGAAUCUUUCGCAAUGGACGAAAGUCUGACGGAGCGACACCGCGUGGGGGAUGAAGGCUCUCGGGUUGUAAACCCCUUUUCUGAGGAAAGAAUAAGGAUGGGAGGAAAUGCCCAUCCGAUGACGGUACUUCAGGAAUAAGCAUCGGCUAACUUCGUGCCAGCAGCCGCGGUAAGACGAAGGAUGCAAGCGUUAUCCGGAAUUACUGGGCGUAAAGGGCGUCUAGGCGGUUGGGUAAGUCAUCUGUGAAAGCCCUCAGCUCAACUGAGGAAGGUCAGGUGAAACUGCU
This 662-nucleotide ribosomal RNA is filed under the name uncultured bacterium. Its description in RNAcentral is "bacterial SSU rRNA". It matches the Rfam family "Bacterial small subunit ribosomal RNA", at positions 8 to 637 of the family's 1533-position model. The record is from RNAcentral.